UUUCCAUGGUUAAAAAGAAUUCAACUGGAUUAAAACUGAGAAAAGACGUGAAAAGGUGUUUGUUUACAAACUGAGUAAUCUUCAUCUUAAAUAAAUCAGUUAUUAAAAAUGAAGAAUGCAAACAUUUGUUUGUUUUUGGCCUGCUGAAAGGAUGGCGGUAUCUUCGUAUAACACACUGAAGAUGGCGGAAAGUCUGAAAGGCCAAAACAUGGAGGAAGGAUCAUCCGUCGCAAACUUCAAAAAGAAAUCUCAACAACUUAAUAAAAAUCUGCAUUUUCCAGCUAUUCUUUUAAACGACCUUUAAAACAACAAUAAAAUGAGUUUGAAGUUA
Molecule: long non-coding RNA, 331 nt
Organism: Cimex lectularius (bed bug)
Lineage: Eukaryota; Metazoa; Arthropoda; Insecta; Hemiptera; Cimicidae
Exons: 2
Source: RefSeq, a predicted model, not a curated record